This 253-nucleotide ribosomal RNA is filed under the name uncultured bacterium. RNAcentral's name for it is "partial 16S ribosomal RNA". It matches the Rfam family "Bacterial small subunit ribosomal RNA", at positions 524 to 776 of the family's 1533-position model. The record is from RNAcentral.
UACGGAGGGUGCAAGCGUUGUCCGUAUUUAUUGGGUUUAAAGGGUGCGUAGGUGGGUUGGUAAGUCUGGUUUGAAAGUUGGUCGCUUAACGAUCAAGGGUGGCUGGAUACUGCUGAUCUUGAAUGCCGUGGAGGUAGCCGGAAUGGGUCGUGUAGCGGUGAAAUGCAUAGAGAUGACCCGGAACUCCGAUUGCGUAGGCAGGCUACUACGCGGUGAUUGACACUGAGGCACGAGAGCAUGGGGAGCAAACAGG